AUUACGCACGGGAUGCACGACGGUUGGAUAUACCUAUAUCAUUUAUUGAACAACUUAUUUUGACUUGAAAGGAUAUUGCAUGCAGAUCAUAAUAUAAUACAAUUAAUAUAAAUACAGAUAAUCAAGUUUCAAAGACCAUAUAUAUACAUCAUGUAUAAUGUUUAGAAGAAGUAAUAUUUGACAUCACCUUUAUGAGAAUCAAGUUUAUAAGACCACAUAUUAAGAUACAGGAAAUUUACAUUUAUUCUCGCUGUAAAGAGAAUCAAGUUAAGAAGACCUUAAUUAUUUACAUUAAGAUACAGGAAAUUUAUAUUUAAUCUUGUUGUUGAGAGAAUCUGCAACCUUAGAAGACCAUAUAUUUAUAUUAGAUACAGAAAAUUUAUAUUUUACCUCACUGUUAAGUAAUAUAUUGGAAUGAACUGGAGGGCCAAAUAGAGAACACAAACCUUGAAAAGUAUGACUUAACAGUGAAUGAAUUGAAAAAAGACAUAAGUGAAGGGACUUUAAAGAUUAUGUAAGUGUUCUUCAAUAACUAUAAAUUGAAAUAAUUUUAGAUGUUAUCUUUUGAAAUUACAAGGAAAACUUGGACAUGUAGGAGUAUGUCCAUGAAGGACUCAAAAUGACCCUUAAAA
Mytilus californianus (California mussel) is the source of this 632-nucleotide long non-coding RNA. RefSeq lists it as uncharacterized. Lineage: Eukaryota; Metazoa; Mollusca; Bivalvia; Mytilida; Mytilidae. The record is from RefSeq and is a predicted model, not a curated record. The transcript is spliced from 6 exons.